Molecule: long non-coding RNA, 593 nt
Organism: Daphnia pulicaria
Lineage: Eukaryota; Metazoa; Arthropoda; Branchiopoda; Diplostraca; Daphniidae
Exons: 5
Source: RefSeq, a predicted model, not a curated record
GUUUGUUGUGUCACAUAUGGGCUAAUGGCGGUUCGUUGUCAAAAGUUCAGCUACAGCUAUCUUCUUCGAAAAUUACCAAUGAAUUCGUUGGAAAAAAUGUGAAAGGUGCAUGAAGCCAGUACCGUCAACUAUUGUGUUAAAAAUCCUGGUAUCCUACAGAAUAUGUCAUCCAAAUGAAAGAGUGGAUUCAUCACUAUUAUCGGCUGAAUCAUUCUAUGGGACUUGCCAGAUCACCAACCCAAGCAUGGACCAAUUUCUCAUUCCAUCUUCUAGAGAACCUUACAUAACCGAUUGGUGGUUUAGUGUGUUUUAGGUUUCUAAUGUAGCAUGAUGAUGAUAGACUUUAUGAAAAGUCAUGUUGUUUGAAGAAAAAGGACUAUACAGUCGACAAGGUUCUUUGCUAACCCGUUGGCUGCUACCCUUGAAUCUCCCUGUUUACUUCCUUACACGGGUCCUCUUGAUUUAAGGGUAAUCCUUCGCUACUGAUCAUAGACCCACUUGUGAAAACCGACGAGAGAAUGCUGUAAUCCAAGACUGAUACAUGUGUAGUUGUUAGAUAAAUGACAAGUGCAUAUCUGGGCUCCCUUCUUUUC